GCUGAGUUUGUGGCGCGCUUAGUGAUGGGAUGGCCCUGUGCAGGACGCCGACACGAAAAGAUGAAGAGUUCAAUCCGUGCUGUCUGAACUCACAGUGUAGCAGGCGAGAUAGACGGGAAGAUCGGUAGGGUGGGAGAUGCCGGAAAGGCUUCCCGUGAGACUGGAUAAGAAAUCAAAAAUCUGGUGAAAUUGCCGGCAAGAGGGAGUUAAGGACAUUCCAGGCAGAGGCAAGUUGGUCCUUGCUGGCUGAUCCAGCUUCCCCGUCAGCAUAUGGUGAGCAGUUCGGUGAGAGGACCACACUUCCAAUACUGGCAGAUGAAGCCAGAUACUCCUCUAUGAAGUUAAAUGACUGGUUCAGUGUUAACACUGCUAGUGAGCGACAGAGAUGGAAUUUGAACGCACACCUGUCUGACUCCACCUCGUGUUCCUUCCACAUGGCCAGCAAGCUCUGCUGUCCCACCUCGCACUUCUGGGAGGUGGCUACUCCCUCUUUCCACCCCCUUUUCUGGAUCUUGACAAGGGAUUCUACCCUGCCCCAGCUGUCAAAGCCUGCAGCAGCUGCCAAAAAACCUCAACACAGGCAUACUUUGGACCUACAUCAUGUGUUGAUGUCACAGAUGCUGUACCAGGCAUUUGACUCCUUGAUCUAAAGCCAGGAUUCCUAGCCAACAUGGCGAAACCCUGUCUCUACUAAAAAUAACAAAAAUUAGCUGGGCAUGGUGAUAGGCACCUGUAAUCCCAGCUACUUGGGAGGCUGAGGCAGGAGAAUUACUUGAACCCAGGAAGCGAAGGCUGCAGUGAGCAGAGAUUGUGCCUCUGCACUACAGCCUGGGCUAUGGAGUAAGACUCUGUCUCAAAAAAAAAAAAAAAAAAAAAAUAGUGAGGGGGAUGCAUGCCCACACAAAGGAAUCCUGAUAGAGGAACAAUGGCUUGGUCCGUUUCCCCUCCUGUGUAGCACUGUGAUAAAGGAAAGCCUUUCAGGUAUGUGCCUCGAUGGAGCCAGUGGGUGGAAGAGGAAGGGCAAUGAGAGGUUUGAGGACAAGCUGCUGAUACCCUCAUGUGUCAUCACAGUGGUGCCCUUUGGGAGCCUGCUUUGGUAUACUCGUCCACUCAGGGAAGAGGAAGUCUCUUAUCCACAGUUUUGUCUUCAAAAUUGAAAUUUCUUUGGGCAGAGCCUAAAAGAGAGUUGCCUCAUUUCGUGUAACUGUAGCAUAUGUAGUGUAGAGGCUCCAAUGUGUUUUUGAGGCAAUCUGAGAGCUCUUUCUGGAAAUCCCUGGCAGAUGACAUCUGCGUCUGAUUUUACUUUGUCUUACAACCAGGCUAAGACCUCCAGCAUCAUCAGACUGUCGAACUGCUCAGGUCAAGGCAGACAGGUAGAAAGGCCCACAUAGAUAGUGGUUACUCAUCCCAAGAACACAGAGGCCCACACCAGGAAGGGGCAGGUGAUGUUAAUGAUGAGGCAGGCAAUUAUAUCUUGCGAUUUCUAUGAGCCAUGAUGCAUUACAGUAAGGAACUUUACCUCACUUGGCUUGUGACUUCUGUUAGUGAAAAGUGGCCUGCUGGCCUAUGCUGUGGAGGACUUGCAGAAAACUUCCCAGUCACCGGCAGACGGUUGACAUCUCCCCUGGUUCCUCCCCAACCCGUUUAGUGUGAAACGGGACAAAGGGAAACAUUUCCUUUGAUCUAUUUUUGGGGAAAGAGGCAAAUGUCAACUAAAUAAGAUCAUAUUAGGGACUGGGCAUGGUGGCUUAUGCCUGUAAUCCCAGCACUUUGGGAGGCCAAGGUGGGCGGAUCACCUGAGGUCAGGAGUUAGAGACCAGCCUAGCCAACAUGGCGAAACCCUGUCUCUACUAAAAAUACAAAAAAUAUUAGCCAGGUGUGGUAGCACGCGCCUGUAAUCCCAGCCACUCGGGAGGCUGAGGCACGAGAAUCACUUGAACCCAGGAGGCGGAGGUUGCAGUGAGGCGAGAUCACACCACUGCACUCCAGCAGCCUGGGUGAUAGAGACUUGACUCAAAAAAAAAAAAAUCCUAUUAGGAAUUUCAUGAAAGCUCACACAGUUCUUGCACACAUCAUUCAAGGCCUGUUAUGGGGGCCCAGAACAUCAGGACACAGUAGCUAGCCUCACAUUCAGCUCCAUUGCACUAGAGCUUUGCAUGAUCUCAAUUUGAAAAACACACAUGUAUAUCCUACAUUUGUAUCUCUAUUCUAAUAUUAUAUACUGUAUAUGACUUUUUAAAAUAUUGGUUUGCUGUUUCUAUUUUGUGCUAAUGCAACAAAUCUAAUUUGUUUUAGAAACAGUUAUUACUGUUUCUUGCUUCUUAUCACCCCCUACCGUUUGGACUCUGUUGUCCAUCUUUCUCUGCCUAAUUGGACCACAGCCUGGUGCCUCAAUCCCCACAAAAUCUGUUCCCUUCUAGCUCAAGAUGACUGCAUUCUCUCUCAGUUCGCAGUGUACUCAUGGGCUGCUCAUUCAUCUGCCCUUGUGCUCUGUGCCUUUUUGGCAUCUGCGGGUAAACUCAGUGCCACAUAUCUCUAUUCUGUUCACUCCUAAUGUUUGUAUUGUCUUCCCAAGGGACCUCUCUUAUGGCCCUGCUGGGCUCCUCCCCUUACCCACAUGUGCCAAGCAUAGAAAUCAAGGCAACAUUCUCAGUCCCUUUAAGGGAAGUUCCAGGUACCUAGCUAGUCCUACAGCCAGCAAUUAGGGAAGUUAACGAAUAACCUGCUAAACAAGAAGAUAAUAAUUUAAAAGCCACUCAAGUAAGUCAGAGUCACAAAAUGUUUGAUUCCCUGUAGAAACUAAAGAUAGCAUCUUGACCUAUUCCCUUGCAUUGCUUUUCAGAAAACAAUUCCCACACCAGAUGGAAAAUGCUGACCACUGUCAUAGAACUCAGACAGACUGAAACCAAAAAAUAGAUAUGGAAGUUCCAGAAAUUCCCUAGCUCUUAACUCAUUUUGGAUACCCCCUCACUCCUGCUUUAAAAACCCUUGCUUAUAAGCCAGCAGGGAGCUCAGGUGUUAAGUGCUAGGUACCCAUUCUUCUUGCUUGGCACCCAGCAAUAAACGCCUUUUUCUCACUACAAAUCUCAGCGUCAAUGUUUGGCUUUUUUGGCAUGCUGGGCAACCAGAACCAACCCCAUCUUUGUGUGCCUGCAUCCAAUUCUGAUGAGCCUAUGUAUGUCAGGUUGGUCAAGGCCCUUUGUGCUGAACACCAAAUCAACCUAAUUAAGGUUGAUGACAAGAAACUAGGGGAAUGAGUAGGCGACCUCUGUAAAAUUGACAGAGAGGGGAAACCCUGUAAAGUGGUUGGUUGCAGUUGUGUAGUAGUUAAGGACUAUGGCAAGGAGUCUCAGCCCAAGGAUGUCAUCAAAGAGUACUUCAAAUGCAAGAAAUGAACAAACCUUUGUCUCACAAAAAAAAAGCCCACAAACUUUUGAAUGAAAUCUACUUAUAUGAUGUGACACACAUUUCUUUCAGACAUGGAUUUUGAAAUCCUAUCAAUAAAAGCCACCAAGUGAGACACUCAGUUCUGGUUUUGAGCAUGUACCUGCUCCGUUUCCUGGUAUCUGCAAAUUAGGGUGGCCCAGUGCAGGCUCCUGACCGUUUGACCAUGACAGGCUGUCUGAACCCUGGGAGCUCAUCGUGCCCAUCGUCAGAGAUGUCCGUAUGUGACACAGCAGAGACUACCCCACAGAUAACAGACGAAAGCCAGCAGAGUACAAGGCCUAAAUGUGCAUGUCCUUCUGUUUCCUUUUUUUUUUUUUUAGGGGUUCUGACUGAGCAGGCAGAUUGGAAAGGAAGAAUCAGAUGAGGAGCAAGUGCUAGGUGUUGGGGAAACAAUUUAAAUUUCCUCCCACCCCAGAAAUUCCUCUCCAUAAAAUAUAGGAAAAAGAAAAUAUUUUAUUAUUGAAUAAACAUUAAACUAGUGAUGCACAUCUUUAGCAUUCUGCUAAGGAGAUUGCAAAGACAGACAUCCCACCCUUUUAUGUGGGCAAGCAAAUAGGACCCAUUCAUUACAUACAUGUUCUCGAACUAAAGUAAGAGGACUUGACAGCACCAUUUGUCAAGCAUAAUUCAUCCUAAAUUCACCUGGUGACCAUUUGUGUUCGCUAAUUGCCUUUAUCAAAAGGAAAAAUAAAACUCAAGUUUCUAGGACAGCAGGUAGUUUUACAACUUGGAGCCAGGUGCUUAAAUGAAACUACUACCCACUGCCCUCCCACUGACAGUGGGAGGUAGGGAGCUAUCUUCCUUGAUGUCUGUAUUUUCAAAGAGAUGGUUUCCAGGCCCUUGCAGGAAAAGAGUCCUAGGUUGUAAAAUCGACUGGAGCCUUACUUAGCUUUUAAAAAGAUUUAUAUACAUUUCAAAGGGGCAGCAAAAUAUAAGUUUUCUAAAGGAAAUGCUCUAAGAAAAAGGAGGAAGCUCUUCCCCUUUUUGCAUGGGCUUGUGGGGUAACUUACAUUCUGGAAUUCACGAGGAGCAGGAAUUGGUUUCCUCCCUCCACGUGCUGGAAGGCACAGUGUAAGAAGCUUGGCAAGGCUCCAGUCGGGUGGACAAUCACUGGGAAUUCCACGCAUCAAAGGGACAAGGGACAAUCACUGGGUCCAUCCUUUACUUCAGAGGGACAAGACCCAAUGAAUGUAGAACUGGGCCACAGUUUGUCUUGGUUCUUAAGCACGCUGGCCCACACAUGAUAGGUUAUCAUUAAAUGUCUGAUGAGUAAGUGAAUGAAUGUCAGGAACCUGAGAGGCUUUAGAGGUCAUUUACCUCAGCUGAAAUUCAGGCAUCCCUUUCCCUCAGCCCUCCUUAAAUACCAGCAGUCCUGGGGAUCCCACCACUUGCCACAGCAACCCAUUUUACUGUUGGAUAACUGUAAUUAUUAUAACAUUUUUAAUAUCUGAAUAAGGAGAGAAAACAAAAUUCGAGUGCUUUCAAGGGCAGGGUACUUUUUUCAAAACAAUCCCAAGAAGUAGGUAUCCCAUGUCACAGAGGAGGGAACUCAAAAACAGAGACAUUAACUAACAGCCCAAGGUCACACAGCUAAAGGGAAAUCAUAUGUAUCGAGUGUCUGUUCUGCACCAGGCACUCAUUUAAAUAAAGAUCCUUUCACUCACAAUAGUUUACCAUACAAAUAUUACAGCAUGUCUAGAUGGGGUCUUAACCAUACCAAAGUACUGUAUUGCAUGCCUCCAUCUGCCCUGGGACUAGGACCAGGUCACACACUGCAAAGGAUUUGAGUGGAAACGAUGAAUAGACCCCUGCACACCCAUGUGCAUCAAUGGAGGACUGUGGAUGCCGUGUGCCCCCAUUCCUCUGGGCCAUUGUCAUUAACCCUUUGUCUCCCAAGGAAUGGAGCUGCCAGAGAGUUCCAGCUGCCUCAGAUCCUCCCUGGUCUCUCAGGUAUGCUGAGUGUUUUCCCUUAAGCAGGGUUUCCAUAGGCUGAUGCCGAGGGGAGGCUAAGUAUGGGGCCAAAAUGCCCACAGCACACAGGUGUCACUCCAGGCAGCACUGAGGGGAAGCAGAACCAGGGGAUGGCUCUUGGGGCCUUCCUUCGCAGGAACACCACUCACUACAGGCUUCCAGGCGGUCAGCGGGUCAUGUGAGUCAAGGGCAAGUGGGUGAAUGACACUGAUAUGUUUCAGGUAGGGAGAAGCCAUGGUGGGCAGCAUUGGAGGGAGGGGAAAGAGGGGGUGAGGAGGGGGUAGAGAUAUGUAUUUGUCUACUUAUUCAUCUGAUGACUAUUUACCUACUAUGUGGCAGCUUUUCCAGAGUCCUUAGUCUGAGGAAAAAAACGCUGUGUGCUCGUGUUAUUCCCAUUUUACAAGUGAGCAGAUGCAGGGAGAGAAAGGCAAAAUAACUCACCCAGGACCACAUGGUUUGUGAGUGGCAGCGCUGGGAUUCUGGCCAGCAGUCAUAGUCCACACUCUUAACCACGGCCCUCUGCUGGGCAACUAGAAAUUGUGUGUGAUUUGUGCUCUACUUGGGGAGCCAGAGCCUGUUGGGGGGUCCUGGGAGGGCAUGGUUGGCUAUGGGACAGACCAUUCAACGAUGUUGUUUGAGGAGCCUUGUCAGGUCUUAAGCAUACCAAAGUACUGUAUUGCAUGCCUCCACCUGCCCUGGGACUAGGACAGGUCACACCCUGCAAAGGAUUCGAGUGGAAACGAUGAAUAGACCCCUGCACACCCAUGUGCAUCAGUGGAGGACUGUGGAUGCCACGUGCCCCCACUCCUCCCUCCCCAAAGCUGCUUUCCAGGCAUCUUCCAGUCCAGAUUCCUAAGAUGAGGACACAGCAUCCUGGGCCACUGUCACUAAUACAAAUUUGCCUCUGGAGGGACUCUACGGAAGAUAAUUCCCCUGAAAUUUGGAGAGUUGAAUUAAGCUAGGACUGAUUCUGGCUGGAAUUUGUGGUGGCUACGUACCCUAGAGGGCCUCAAGGAAACCCACGGUUCAAGACAGCCCUGACAGAUUCUGGAGUCUAGAACAGAAAUGGAUUUGAACAUGGGCAAGGCCAACCACCCAGUUCACGGCCUGUGUACAGCAAAGAUUACGUUACAGCCUGAGAGCUAAGCCUGGAAGCUCUUUCAUCCAUCCGUUUGUCCAUCUAUCCAUCCAUCUGCUCAUCCAUCCCUCCAUCUGCUCAACAAACGUUAGAGAAUCAAUCCUUGUGUCAGAUACUGGGGCUGCCCUCAAGGAGCUUUUAUAGAGUUCAGGGUACAGCCAGGUGGGGGAGACAGAUCACUAUAAAAACCUACCACUAUAAUCCAAAGGACAAGAGCAAAAAUAGUAAAGAGGAGAGAAGACCCAAAUUUGCCUGGUGGGUCAGAGAGGGCUUUCUAGAAGAGGUAAAAAAUCUUCGGGGCUAUCACUUCACCUUGCCUGGUGGAUAAAGGGAGGACUUUCCAGAUACAGUGGACAGAAUGUGCAGAGGCAGGAGCCAUGAGUGGCAGAGGCAGGGGAGGGACUGCAGAGACAGGUUGGAGCCAAAGCACGUGGCACUGGAGCCAUAGCCAAAGGAACAAACUGUGAGACCUGGGACUUGAAUUUGGAGGUGGUGAAAAGUGACAAGGUCUUCACAGAAGAGUGAUUUUUUCAACUUAGGGAAGGCUGACCCCAGACCAAUGCUGCCAAAGUGUGGUCUGUGGGCUGUUAGCAGUUCGUGACGAUGUAAGUACAGGAAUUGAGAUUAAGCAUUUAGAACACCUACAGCACUUUGAUAGUCAUUUUACUUUUUAAAUUUUGAGCUGGCAUUUUAUAUGCCUGGUUUUUUUUUGUUUUUGUUUUUUUAUUUUUUUUGAGACAGUCUCGCUCUGUCGCCCAGGCUGGAGUGCAGUGGCGCGAUCUCUGCUCACUGCAAGCUCCGCCUCCCGGGUUCACGCCAUUCUCCUGCCUCAUCCUCCCAAGUAGCUGGGACUGCAGGCGCCUGCCGCCUCGCCCAGCUAAUUUUUUGUAUUUUUAAUAGAGACGGGGUUUCACCAUGUUAGCCAGGAUGGUCUCAAUCUCCUGAUCUCGUGAUCUGCCCGCCUUGGCCUCCCAAAAUGCUGGGAUUACAGGUGUGAGCCACCACGCCCAGCCUUAUUCUCUUUUUCUAAUAGUUGCACUUUAUCAUAUUUUACAAAUGUGUGAGUCUGCUAUGGAUUAGAAAUUAAUAAGAGAUUUUGCCACAGAUAGUUUGAGAAGCCCAGCACUGCCACUCAACAAAUGCUGGUGCAUUCAGAUGGUGAAAUAUUCUGCAGCUAUUAAAGGAGUUAAAACUGCCUCCACUUACCUGGAGGCCCAUCUGUGACACCUUUUUAGGUUAAAAGGAAAAGAAAAACUUGCUUAGGACUGAAUAUGAGCGGUUGCAAUUUGUAACAAUGAUGUAUAUAUACAUAUACAUUUUCAUGUAUUUGUAUGAACAUAAAAGUAUUGAAGGAUAUUCAUCAAACUGCUAAAAGGGUUGCUUCAGAGUAACGGACUCGGAGAAGGCAGAUUAAUUUUCUCUUAAUGGAACUCUGUAUUGUAUCACUUGUAAAAAUAAGCAUGUGUUAUCUUUAUGAUAAAAAAGUAAAAACCUAAAAAAGAAAAUUUUGAUGUGUGUUAAAAUUUUGGAUUUCUAGGCUCCACCUUUUUUGAAUGAGUCUCUCCAAGAGUGGGGCCCUCACAUGUAUAAUGAGAAAAAGCUCCCCGAUUACAGGAUGUUACCAAGCCCCGCUAGGUGUAGGAACCCUGCUUGGUACCCACCCGAGCCUCAGCAGCUCCUCCCCAUCAUGGGCAUGAUGAGGUCUCCCUGUGAGGUGUUGUGAAGACGACGGGACAGGCUGCAGUAGGCACUGAAUAAAUGAGUCCCUUCCCCUGAUGACCCUAAGGCUAUGGGAUCAUCAUCACUCCCUCCCCAAAGCCACACCUGAUUAUUCCAGCCAGCACUCGGCCUGCCCCUUUUCUGAAUGCUUUUUGAUUUUAACUUACAUUUUUCGCAUUUAAAUGUUUCAUUUAAUUUGAGAAAGAGUCUCGCUCUGUCACCCAGGCUGGAGUGCAGUGGUGCGAUCUCAGCUCACUGCAGUCUCCACCUCCUGGGUUCAAGCAAUUCUCCUGCCUCAGCCUCCCAAGUAGCUGGGAUUACAGGCGCCCACCACCACAUGUGGCUAAUUUUGUACUUUUAGUAGAGAUGGGAUUUUGCCAUGUUGGCCGGGCUGGUCUCGAACUCCUGACCUCAAGUGAUCCACCUGCCUCAGCCUCCCAAAGUGCUGGGAUUAGAGGUGUGAACCACCACAGCUGCCUUCUUUUAAUUUGUAUUUUCUAUCUCUGCGGACAAGACUUCAAAGGUGUCUAUCACAUACUUUCAGAUCUACUGAUCAUCCUCUGAAAACCAACAUCGGGGUUCACAAAAUGGAUUUAACCAAUUGGGCUCCCCAGUUCUUCUUCCAGACUCCACCCCUCCAACAGUGUCUCCAAUGACUUCCUGGCAUCACUGAACAGGUCCUUCACUUUGCCACCUCUGAGCCUUUGCUUGAGUGUUUUCUUUCCCCUGGAAUAUCCUUUCCAACCCUAUACACCGACUGAGUCAAACCUUCUGUCUUCUUUUUGAGCAUUUAUGAGCUCCUAUCAUGAGCCAUGCAUUAUGUAAGGGACCUUACAAACACAAUCAGUCUAUGUAACAAUCCUGCCAAGUAUGCUUUAUUUUGGGCAUGGGGAAACAGAGGCUCAAGAGAAGUGACCUGCCCCAGGUUUCAGUGCCAGCACACUAGUAGAGCUGGGAUUUGAACCCAGGUUUGUCUUUUGCACUGGAUUCAGCUUCCUUGCAGACCGCAGCACCUCACAUACAGCCCUUCACUGACCAGCAAUUGGAGGGAAACCACCCCUGUGGCUUAAAACCUGUGGUGCCACAGAUCAUUCCACUCAGUCAAACCCCCAAGACCGUAGAAGUGCAUUUAACACAGCAGCUCCUAGGCACAGGAUUGUCACCUCAGGGCAUAUGACUUCUAAAGUUGCAGAUUAUAAACUUGUUCUCUUUCCCUGUCCUCAG
This 9499-nucleotide long non-coding RNA is filed under the name Homo sapiens (human). RNAcentral's name for it is "non-protein coding CKMT2-AS1:28". Lineage: Eukaryota; Metazoa; Chordata; Mammalia; Primates; Hominidae. The record is from RNAcentral.